Molecule: long non-coding RNA, 1986 nt
Filed under: Vigna radiata
Lineage: Eukaryota; Viridiplantae; Streptophyta; Magnoliopsida; Fabales; Fabaceae
Description: long non-coding RNA (VRAD_LNC015065)
Source: RNAcentral
UGGUGGAUCAGUUAGAGCAGUAGUGUUUGGACUCAGUGUAAUCGUAGGGAGAACUACAAUGGUUGAAGAAUCUCAAAAGAGAAGUAGAAGGCAGGUUGGAAUAUUCUAGUUUAAGUCUUCGAAAUCAAGAAAGUUCAAGCAUGUACGUUUUUCCAGGAGUAGAGAUAAUGUUGAGGAAAUGGAAUGACAAAGUUAUCAUGGAAGAGAAAAGUCCUCAAGGUUUUUGCAAAACCAUAGAAGUUUGAAGAAGCUAUUCAAGGGUGAGCUUUUUGGUUAUAAUUGUCAUGAAGGAAGUGUUAUUAUCAAUAAAUGGUGAGUAAGGAAAUAUGAGGAUCAGAGUAGCGCAGCGGAUGAUGAUGGGCAUGCCAUUAUCAAUAAAGAAGUAUUAAUGAAGAGUUGUCUUAAUCAAGUGUUGGUAGUCUGGGUAGUGAUGUGUUUAUCUGGGAAUGAGUUGAGAAUGUGUAGUGAUCUUCUAAAGUCAAAAGCGAGUUUAUGCAUGCAGGAAAAACUUAAGAUAUAGAGAAGACAGACUUAGCCUACGGUUUCGAGCUACAACGUCAACCUUAAAGUUAGAAAGUAUUAACGGACGAUGAACAAAGUAAGUGGGUCAGGGGAUCAAGAAAUAUGAGCUAAGAUACGGUUUUGAGUUAUGGUGUCAAUCUAGAGGUAAGGAAUGUUAACAUAUGGUUUGAACAAAGAAAAGAUUCAAGUUUUUGGUUUGAUAAGGAUUGAGUAAGAGUUGGUUGAAGAAUAUGAAGAUUGGGGUCUCCAGUGAAGCUUUAAAGUGAUUUCAUUAGUGUAGUUGAAUACUAUAACUAGUGGGUUUAUCAAAAUGGUUGAGAAAGCACAGUCUGGACAAUCGUAGUUUGAGAUGUAUCAUAAGUUGGCUUGGUACUGAUUAAGCUAGUGAUCUCACAUCGAGGAAGAUAAAAAUCUAAGUAUGACUACAGGCUAGGGGGGUCAAGAAAUGCAUAUGCUUCAGGUCAUCGAGUUAACGAAGGGAAAUUAGAGUGCUCAAAUUAGUUUUGUUGUUGCAAGGAAGAAGAAUUUUGCUUUGGUAAUGAGAUAGUAUAAUUGGAAACCAUGCUACUUAAGGGUGGAGAUUAGUAAGGCAAUGUGAAGUCCUCAUAAUGAGUGUGGUAGUAGAUGAUCAAGAGCAUAACAUUCGGUAGUUAAAUCAGAAGUGUCAGUGAUCAAGUUAGUGGUAUGAUGGUUCUUGGAAGAAACAAGAGGAGGUAAAUGAGUAAUAGUCAAGGGUUAAUUUGAAGUCAAGAUUAGUGGAAGUCUUAGAAGAGAUUUACAAGAAAUAACGGAAGAUUGAUGAGUGGUUAGCAGUGUCACAGAUACAUUGGGGCUAGUUGUACGAAAGAAAGUUUCUUAACAGUUGAGAUUUAGCCGUUCAUAUUUGUCUUGAGAGUAAAGGGUAAACCAAUCUACACUAUGGAACACUAGAGCAUUUUAACACAAAGGCAAGGUCGUUGGGGAGUAGUAUCUUAGUCAAAUUAGGUGAUUGUACUAGAGGAUGUGACCAAAGAGGGUUGUUCCUUCUCUCUGGUAAGUUUAAUUUUUAGGGACGAAAAUUUUAUUUGUUGUGGAGAAUGUAAAGGCCUGAAAAUUAUUUUAAAGCCAUUGGGCUUUAAGUGAGGCUGCCAGGCCCAUAAGGCAAAGGUCAACAUAGCCUUAAGAGAGGGAAGCUUUCCCUUUUUUCUGAUUCUUUCACAGAAAGUCAUUCUCUCUCUAAAACCCUUGUGCCUAAUAUUUUCUCUGACUUCUCUCUAAAAUUCCAGAACUUUGAACCGUUUAAAUCUAGAUUGGGUGCUGCCAAAUCAUUCCUGGUGUAGAAAGCUUCUGUUCAAACCGAAUAUUUCUCCAUUCUGACUGGUGAGUCAUUUCCCCCCUUUUCUCUUCACUGUUCUUGAACCUAGAGCAUGCAACUCACUGGUUGCAUGUUACUGGUAGCUUUUCCUUUAGUUUCUUUGUCCCUUC